UCUCCUGAAGGAACGUUAAAGACGAUGACGUUGAUAGGCCGGGUGUGUAAGCGCAGCGAUGCGUUGAGCUAACCGGUACUAAUGAACCGUGAGGCUUAACCUU
RNAcentral lists this ribosomal RNA (103 nucleotides) under Acinetobacter baumannii. Its description in RNAcentral is "partial 23S ribosomal RNA". It matches the Rfam family "Bacterial large subunit ribosomal RNA", at positions 2823 to 2925 of the family's 2925-position model. Lineage: Bacteria; Pseudomonadati; Pseudomonadota; Gammaproteobacteria; Moraxellales; Moraxellaceae. RNAcentral also lists the same sequence under 6 other names. The record is from RNAcentral.